AGCAGCCGCGGUAAUUCCAGCUCCAAUAGCGUAUAUUAAAGUUGUUGCAGUUAAAAAGCUCGUAGUUGAAUUUCGGGCUAGUAGGUUGGUCAUGCCUCUGGUAUGUACUGGUCUCACUGAUUCCUCCUUCCUGAUGAACCUUAAUGCCAUUUAUUUGGUGUUUUGGGGAAUUUGGACUGUUACUUUAGAAAAAUUAAGUGUUUAAAGCAAGCUAACGCUUGAAUACAUUAGCAUGGAAUAAUGAAAUAGGACGUUCGAUCCUAUUUUGUUGGUUUCUAGGAUUGACGUAAUGAUUAAUAGGGAUAGUUGGGGGCAUUAGUAUUCAAUUGUCAGAGGUGAAAUUCUUGGAUUUAUUGAAGACUAACUACUGCGAAAGCAUUUGCCAAGGAUGUUUUCAUUAAUCAAGAACGAAAGUUAGGGGAUCGAAGACGAUCAGAUACCGUCGUAGUCUUAACCAUAAACUAUGCCGACUAGGGAUCGGAUGAUGUUAAUUUUUAAUGUACUCAUUCGGCNCCUUAAC
Molecule: ribosomal RNA, 520 nt
Filed under: uncultured Glomus
Lineage: Eukaryota; Fungi; Glomeromycota; Glomeromycetes; Glomerales; Glomeraceae
Description: SSU rRNA
Rfam family: Eukaryotic small subunit ribosomal RNA
Source: RNAcentral